AGUUAAAAAAGGGGGUGUACACGCCAGUGGAUUCGAGCUCGGGACAGCGGUGCGUCUAGAUUACAUGUCUAAGUAUAAAUAACUACACAGUAAAACUGCGAAUGGCUCAUUAAAACAGUUAUAGUUUAUUUGAUACAUUAAAUGGAUAACUGUAGAAAAACUAGAGCUAAUACAUGCCAAAGCCUCACGGUUGUAUUUAUUAGAUAUUCCAAUUAGGUGAAUCAUAAUAACUUCGCAAAUCUCGGUUUUGCCGAGAUAAAUCAUCCAAGUUUCUGCCCUAUCAUGCUUUCGAUGGUAGUGUAUUGGACUACCACGGCUUUCACGGGUAAAUAAGCAAUUUAGGGUUCGAUUCUGGAGAACUGAGCCUGAGAAACGGCUACUACAUCUACCGACAGGCAGCAGGCGCGUAAAUUACCCAAUCCUGACUCAGGAGGUGGUGACAAGAUAUAACAACGCAAUUUCAUUGUGAUUGUAGUGAGGGUAUUCCAAACCGAACCACUAGUACGAUUAGAGGGCAAGUCUGGUGCAGCAGCCGCGGUAUUCAGCUCUAAUAGCGUAUAUUAAAGUUGCUGCAGUAAAAGCUCGUAGUGGAUUCAGGACUGUAAACCCUCGGGAAUCAUCUACUAGCUCGACUGUUCUGGGAAAAAUAAAGGUUCAGCAGCUAUGCAGAUCUACAUGAACGAGAUUGACUGUAUCAGUCGAUAAGAGUGGGCUAUUAUUGCAGGAUGCUAAUUGCAUCGAGUUUAACAAGGACAACGCCUAUCACCAUG
This 770-nucleotide ribosomal RNA is filed under the name uncultured rumen protozoa. Its description in RNAcentral is "bacterial SSU rRNA". It matches the Rfam family "Eukaryotic small subunit ribosomal RNA", at positions 1 to 842 of the family's 1831-position model. The record is from RNAcentral.